GACAGAGGCAGCGAGCGUUGUUCGGAGUUACUGGGCGUAAAGGGUGUGUAGGCGGUUGUUUAAGUUUGGUGUGAAAUCUCCCGGCUCAACUGGGAGGGUGCGCCGAAUACUGAAUGACUUGGAGUGCGGGAGAGGUGAGUGGAAUUCCUGGUGUAGCGGUGAAAUGCGUAGAUAUCAGGAGGAACACCGGUGGUGUAGACGGCUCACUGGACCGUAACUGACGCUGAGACACGAAAGCGUGGGUAGCAAACAGG
This 254-nucleotide ribosomal RNA is filed under the name uncultured bacterium. RNAcentral describes it as "partial 16S ribosomal RNA". It matches the Rfam family "Bacterial small subunit ribosomal RNA", at positions 524 to 776 of the family's 1533-position model. The record is from RNAcentral.